Zophobas morio is the source of this 306-nucleotide long non-coding RNA. RefSeq lists it as uncharacterized. NCBI's taxonomy places the organism in Eukaryota, Metazoa, Arthropoda, Insecta, Coleoptera, Tenebrionidae. The record is from RefSeq and is a predicted model, not a curated record. The transcript has 3 exons.
AGUAAAAGUCUUUUCAUCCCGGUGGUGGGAACAAGAAAUUUAUUUUUCGAUUUUUAAAAAAAGGAACGUAUAAUGCUGUAGUUUUCAAGGUGGAUGCAUUGACAUUUGAAAAUUCAUUGAGUGCAACUAACUUUUAUGUUCCUUGUGGGUGGAUCUUCUUAUAUAAGGAAAGUUGGCGAAUUCCCUUUGGUGAGGCACUCUCUAGAAGUUUGUUCCCUCCUGCCUGUAAGUUAGCGCGUGGUAAAAAAUAUUGACUACAAAAUUGUCACGCAAAAUGGGUUAAGAAAAGUUCACAAAUGCGCUCCU